AAGUCGUAACAAGGUUUCCGUAGGUGAACCUGCGGAAGGAUCAUUACCUUUAUAAGGGCUUCAUUGCCCGGUCAUGGGAUUUACCCCUGGCUUCGUCCUUGUCUUUUGCGUACUUAUUGUUUCCUCGGCAUGCUUGCAUGCCGGCUGGACAACCAUUAAACCUUUGCAAUUGCAGUCAGCGUCUGAAAAAAAUUAAUAAUUACAACUUUCAACAACGGAUCUCUUGGUUCUG
Molecule: unclassified non-coding RNA, 232 nt
Filed under: air metagenome
Description: partial contains small subunit ribosomal RNA, internal transcribed spacer 1, and 5.8S ribosomal RNA
Rfam family: Eukaryotic small subunit ribosomal RNA (bases 1-46)
Source: RNAcentral